AAACCAACAGGGAUUGCCUUAGUACCGGCGAGUGCAGCGGCAAAAGCUCAAUUUGAAAUCGCUUCGGCGAGUUGUAAGUAAAGUGGUUAGACGCUUUUUAAUAAGUCCCUUGGAACAGGGCGCCAUAGAGGGUGAUAGCCCCGUAUUAAAUUGUCUAGUGUGCUACUUUAGAGCGAGUCGAGUUGUUUGGGAAUGCAGCUCAAAUAGGUGGUAAACUCCAUCUAAAGCUAAAUAUUGCUGGGAGACCGAUAGCGAACAAGUACAGUGAUGGAAAGAUGAAAAGCAGUUUGAAAAGAGAGUGAAAUAGCGUGUGAAAUUGUUGGAGGGGAAGGCGAUGGUAGGAAUAAGAGGCUGCGGUUUGAAAUAAAUGUUUUUCGGGCCAC
RNAcentral lists this ribosomal RNA (383 nucleotides) under Magnusiomyces spicifer. RNAcentral describes it as "partial large subunit ribosomal RNA". It matches the Rfam family "Eukaryotic large subunit ribosomal RNA", at positions 62 to 471 of the family's 3401-position model. Lineage: Eukaryota; Fungi; Ascomycota; Dipodascomycetes; Dipodascales; Dipodascaceae. The record is from RNAcentral.